GCGGCAGGCCUAACACAUGCAAGUCGAACGGUAGCACAGAGGAGCUUGCUCCUUGGGUGACGAGUGGCGGACGGGUGAGUAAUGUCUGGGAAACUGCCCGAUGGAGGGGGAUAACUACUGGAAACGGUAGCUAAUACCGCAUAACGUCGCAAGACCAAAGAGGGGGACCUUCGGGCCUCUUGCCAUCGGAUGUGCCCAGAUGGGAUUAGCUAGUAGGUGGGGUAACGGCUCACCUAGGCGACGAUCCCUAGCUGGUCUGAGAGGAUGACCAGCCACACUGGAACUGAGACACGGUCCAGACUCCUACGGGGGGCAGCAGUGGGGAAUAUUGCACAAUGGGCGCAAGCCUGAUGCAGCCAUGCCGCGUGUAUGAAGAAGGCCUUCGGGUUGUAAAGUACUUUCAGCGAGGAGGAAGGCGUUGUGGUUAAUAACCGCAACGAUUGACGCUACUCGCAGAAGAAGCACCGGCUAACUCCGUGCCA
Molecule: ribosomal RNA, 482 nt
Filed under: uncultured Enterobacterales bacterium
Lineage: Bacteria; Pseudomonadati; Pseudomonadota; Gammaproteobacteria; Enterobacterales
Description: bacterial SSU rRNA
Rfam family: Bacterial small subunit ribosomal RNA
Source: RNAcentral